UCCAUUCUGAAUGUAGACUGCCUAGAUUUA
This 30-nucleotide non-coding RNA is filed under the name Homo sapiens (human). The record is from RNAcentral. Lineage: Eukaryota; Metazoa; Chordata; Mammalia; Primates; Hominidae.